Engraulis encrasicolus (European anchovy) is the source of this 178-nucleotide long non-coding RNA. RefSeq lists it as uncharacterized. The transcript is spliced from 2 exons. The record is from RefSeq and is a predicted model, not a curated record. Lineage: Eukaryota; Metazoa; Chordata; Actinopteri; Clupeiformes; Engraulidae.
CCAAACUUUCGUUGCCUAGCAACAACAGGACUCGCCGCCACCGCGAGCUAGUUCAACUUCAGUGCAGCAGAGCCAGGCAAGGACUUCCUCUGGAUGGUGGCAGAUUGACAACCUCACAUCAGUGAACAUGAAUCUCAUAACUGAUUGGAAAAAUAAACAAAGUUUUGCACACAAUGUG